This 468-nucleotide ribosomal RNA is filed under the name uncultured bacterium. RNAcentral's name for it is "partial 16S ribosomal RNA". It matches the Rfam family "Bacterial small subunit ribosomal RNA", at positions 28 to 507 of the family's 1533-position model. The record is from RNAcentral.
GACGAACGCUGGCGGCGUGCUUAACACAUGCAAGUCGAACGGAAAGGCCCUGCUUUUGUGGGCUGCUCGAGUGGCGAACGGGUGAGUAACACGUGAGUAACCUGCCCUUGACUUUGGUAUAACUUCAGGAAACUGGGGCUAAUACCGGAUAGCAUCCCCCGUUGCAUGGUGGGGGUUGGAAAUUUUCGGCGGUUGGGGAUGGACUCGCGGCUUAUCAGCUUGUUGGUGGGGUAGUGGCUUACCAAGGCUUUGACGGGUAGCCGGCCUGAGAGGGUGACCGGCCACAUGGGGACUGAGAGACGGCCCAGACUCCUACGGGAGGCAGCAGUGGGGAAUAUUGCACAAUGGGCGGAAGCCUGAUGCAGCAACGCCGCGUGCGGGAUGACGGCCUUCGGGUUGUAAACCGCUUUCGCCUGUGACGAAGCGUGAGUGACGGUAAUGGGUAAAGAAGCACCGGCUAACUACGUG